UAUUAUUUGUUGCAACUGGUUGUUAUACAUGAGCAGUGUAUGGCGCGCCUGCGCGCCGGCGCAACAGAGUGAGAGGGGAACGUAGAGCCGAGGGGACGCGUUGAACUUGCCCUCUCAGCUAUUUCGGCGCGGUUGUUGUGACGCGAGUGUUGAUAACGAAACACAGCAUAAUGAACAUCAUGCGCCGUAGGGGCCCAGCAGCGUCUCCAAAGUCACUUCACUACAGUCACGCCUACACGUCAGACGUGUCUCGGGAGGCGCGGAGAGUAAAUCCCAGUAAAUCCCCGAGUUCUCAUCCCGAUAAAUCCCCAAGUGUAAUCCCUUGCAUACAACCAAGAGGACGCCUGUUCCCCGCACUGUAUCACGCAGAGGAGAGGACGACUUGCUGUGUUUGUGCUGGUGGUGUUCAUCUGUAGAACCGACUGAACCCGCUAAAGUGUUUGACCGCUUCUGAAUACAAAGAGCGCGUACUGCACAGCUCGUUUCAGUCACCUCCAGUAUAAUACAUUAAUAAGCGUCGGAUGGCGCUUACAAUACAUAUACCUCCACAUUGUAACUGUCAGCUUUUAAUAAAUGUUCAAAAUGUUCAAUGCUCUCUCAAGCCGUUGUUAGUGUAUAUAAGUGUAGACACAGCAACCUAAUGAUUUUUUAAUGUUGCUGUUUUAUAUUUACUUGUGUUCCGUAAUGUAAUUUGAAAUCUUUCAGUAACUCAUCUUAGGUAUUAUAACAAACAGGCUGUACUGGAAAUGAUUGUGCCAAGGGUGUAUUCGUGAUUCUAGUGAUAGUUUAAUAAGGAUUCUGCAUCAUUUAUGAGAAGAUCCAUGAAAACCUGGAUUCUCAAUUCUGCGGCCUUUGAAAAUCUCCUUAAUUAACGACCGAAGCGUUUCAAAACACAGGCUCGUCUAACUCGAGUAUCGAAGCAUCUUUACACUCACAAACUCACUAUAUUAUAUUGCUUACAUUAUUGCCAUUUUUCCAUAUAAAUGACAACUAAGUGCUUUGAGCCAGGAAUUAAAAAAAAAAAAAAAUGCAUUGAUAGUUUGUUAAGAAUUUCAAACAUUUGUUUUGCUUUUAUCGUCACCAUCUGAGGAAAUAUUGUGGGUUACCUUUUAGACCACCCAAGUCAGUUGCUGCUCCCCUCGUAUGGUUUACAUGUCACGGAACGCACGGCCAAGCUCAACAUCGGACGGUCAUAUAGAAUCUUAUCCCUCCAUUUAGUCUCAUUUCACGCGCGUAUUUCGGAAGGGGAAGUGAUAAAUGAGGGCGAAAACAAGAGGAAAUUAUAUAGUUAGUAAUAGUGGAGCUUCUUGCAUAAAUAACGAGAGAGGGAGAGAGAGAGAGAGAGAGAGAGAGAGAGAGAGAGAGAGAGGAGGGGGGUACAGUGGACUUUACCUAAGCAGAAAGUGAUUAACAGAUUAUUUUGCACUCUGCAUCUUCGUUUUCUAUUCAGAAUGCACCCAACUUCCCUCAUCCUCCCUUCCAAUGCGAGCUUCUUGCUGACACAAACUGAACUUGAAAUUUGGGAAGUUUGUCCCUAAACUGGGAAAUACGAAGCAGUGUAGGGAAAAUGAGGGAGGAAUCAAGACAGAACAGCAUCAGUGGUACAAAUAAAUGAGGCAGACAAAUAAUAAAAAAGAGAUCCUCUAACUGAAAAUUACACAAUCAGCGGAUGAAGUGUGAGGGGUCUUGAUGAUGUACGUAGGAGCAAACAGGCCAACCAAUCAUCACGAGAACAACAGAAAAAUGUACGAGAUGAUGAAAUUAAUUAAAGGAUUCUGUAACAUAAUAACUGACUAAUUAGGACUGACAUGAAAGGGUACAUUUGACUCAACAAUGAAACAGUAAAUAUGAGUGAUCAGUUGUUAUCUGGCUUCACAGAAAUCACCAAAAUGAAAAUAAAGAAAUGGGAACUGGAAGACCAAGUAACAUUGCAUGACAGAGGAGCUGAGACUAUCACUGAUUACAUCAUCUUAUAUACGAAAAAUACGAAAAAAAAAAUAAACACGAAAAGUACGAAAAAUGCGAUGCACCAUCUGGGAAAUGACCAAAUAGAAAUAUCAGACCAGAAUCUGAUAGGAAUUUGUGCAAAAAUACCAAGAGAAAAAAAAAAGAAAAGAAAAGAAGAAAAGAGGAUAAAUACAUGGAAAUUGGAAGAUGCAAACUGGGGAAAAUGUAGUGAGAAAGUGUUUCUAAUAAUAUUACGGAAAAUGAGCGAAACAGAGAUGUAAACACUUGGGAAACUGAAAUUAAGGAAAUUCUAAAACAAGAAGCUUCAUCCGAAAUAAGAACUAAGGCCGGCCACACACGUGCAGUUAAAACUGUCAGUUUGGACUGUUCAGUUAUAACUGACAGUUUUAACUGACGUGUGUGGGACCAUCAGUCUCAGUUCAACAGAACUGCGCAGUUCGACUGAAGGAAAUAGAAAAGUUAAAAGUUUUAACUGUCAACUGUGGCUGUUUGACUGAGAACUGAGCGUGUGUGGGGCUUAACUGCGCAGUCCUCAGUUGACUUUCAGAUUGGACGGAAACACCAUGUGAGGGAAACACUUUACUUUUGGUAACGUUUCGUACAGAGUACUUCCUCAGAAGUACUCUGUACGAGAUAUUCUAGUGGAGAACUUAAGGCACUCAUAUGAUCGUCCUGUCGCUAGAAACCUUAAGGUAGCUGUUAGUCUUUCAUGAGGCGAUAUAGCACUGCGCAUUAUUGUAUCUUUCUUUUUAAUGAAAGGAGAUACCAGGGAAAGCAAUUUUUGGUACACAUUUUCACUCAUUCGUAGGUAAUUUUGAAAAUCUUUUGCUUCAUCACUUAUUUCUCUCAGUAAUUGAACAUCAGAAGAUUUAUUUCGCCUCAGCAACCACUUCUUGCACCACUGUUUGCGCUUCUUAGUGUUUUUUUUCCUAUUUUCUUGUGCCAUUACUAGUAAUACCCCGAGCGCUGCUAGAUCGUCCUCCUCGGAAUCCAUGGUUAAACUGAACGAUUCAACUGUACGUCUGUGGACUUGUCAGUUGACAGUUAAAACUGUCAGUUAUAACUGAACAGUCCAAACUGACAGUUUUAACUGCACGAGUGUGGCCGGCCUAAGAAACUUAA
This is a long non-coding RNA of Scylla paramamosain (green mud crab), 3090 nucleotides long. RefSeq lists it as uncharacterized. NCBI's taxonomy places the organism in Eukaryota, Metazoa, Arthropoda, Malacostraca, Decapoda, Portunidae. The transcript is spliced from 3 exons. The record is from RefSeq and is a predicted model, not a curated record.